Long non-coding RNA from Epinephelus fuscoguttatus (brown-marbled grouper), 1483 nucleotides. RefSeq lists it as uncharacterized. The record is from RefSeq and is a predicted model, not a curated record. The transcript is spliced from 3 exons. Lineage: Eukaryota; Metazoa; Chordata; Actinopteri; Perciformes; Serranidae.
CGGUAUGACACCCACAGCCUGGUGUCGUAAAAUUCCAAAUGCAGCCAGCAAUUACCGCAUGCAUUUGUUUUGGAGAGUGAGAGGAUUAACUAACGUCAGAUAAAGAUGGAGAAGUUUUAGUGGUGUAAUGUCAUCACAUUGGAGUGAAGAUGAUUUUACAGAAUGAUGGUGAUGAUGGUUUAUUUUUUCAGAUGAGGAUGGAGACCUGGUGGCAUUUUCCUCUGAUGAUGAACUGAUGAUGGGUCUGGCCUGUAUGAAGAACGACACCUUCCGCCUCUUCAUCAAAGAUGCAGCAGCCAAACAGGCAGCCGUUUCCUCAUCCUCUGUGGUACAUCAAUGUACUUCAGUUCAACCUCCUGAACUUCCUGUUCUCCCCUCUUUUGAUGAUGUCACUGUCACAAAACCGCACUGACAGUGAGAAGAAAAAGACAUGGAUCAGGAAAGGUUGUUCUCAACAGGAGUCUGGCUUGUGGCUCCACUGUGAUGGCUGGCCGGUCUGCCCCCGCUCUCUCCUUCAUGUUUUAGCCUGCGUUGCACGCAGGCCUACACAUGUAGGAAAAGGGAGGAUAAUGACAUAAUCUGAUCGCAGUGGUUUGCACCAGGCAUUACGAAUGUUGCACAAACACUGGUGAAUAAUUGCAUGAUAUGUCAACAGACAAGACGAGCGGGUAAUACCAUCAGCCAUAACCAUUUGCCGCCGCCAUCAGGUCCUUUUGUAAAUAUGCAGAUUGAUUUUGUACAUAUGCCUAGCUGUCAAGGAUAGAAAUACUUGCUUGUAAUCACUGAUAUGUUUUCCAAAUGGGUGGAAGCAUAUCCAUCAAGAAAAGAAGAUGCAUGAACAGUUGUAGAAUGUUUGAUAAAAGAGCUUAUCCCGCAUUUAGGGGUAACUAUGGGAAUAAAUAGUGAUAGGGGCCCUGCUUUUGUUGCAAAAAUUACUCAGUCUUGCAUCAAUACUGGGGAUCCAGUGGAGAUUGCAUGUUCCCUAUCACCCACAGAGCUCAGGUCAAGUGGAGAGAAUGAAUUCCACCAUCAAAGGAAAGUUAACAAAGACUAUGACGACAACAGGGCUAAAAUGGCCUGAUGUCCUUCCAUUAGUGCUGUAUGCUAUUUGCAGCACAACAAACUCCACAACGGGACUUAGCCCCCAUGAAGUCUUGAUGGGUAGAGCUAUGACCAUUGGAGUCAGUGCACCUCUGACCCUGCAUCAAGUCACCCUAUUAUGGAUGGAUGAUUACAUGGUCAUGUAUGUCGUGUAGAGAUGUGCAUCUGCUUACAACAAAAUUCAAACAAACUUCUGUUAUCCUUUGUUUUUAAACACAGAAUAGCAAGCCCUUGGCCAGGACCAUUGCUGGCCUUCUGGUCAGGAAAAGACCAAUGUAGGGGGUCCGGGCCCCAGCAUGGAGGUCUUCAGACUCCCUGUGAAGGAGAGGUGGAGGUUGGAGCUGCAGAAGGGUGCUUGAUGCUAUGGAUUAGGGUGCUGAAG